Molecule: non-coding RNA, 1420 nt
Organism: Cinara cedri
Lineage: Eukaryota; Metazoa; Arthropoda; Insecta; Hemiptera; Aphididae
Source: the annotation of a GenBank genome assembly
UAACAAUUAUGAGACUUAAAAUUAGAUUUUAAAUUUAUUUUUUGUCGCGAAAACUUGAGUUUCGAUUUUAAUUGACAAUAUUACUUAAAUAACAAAUAAUAAUUAUAAGCACAAUAAGUAAAUUAACGUUUCAAGUGUCGUGUAUAAAGUAAAUCAGUGUCGAGUGUUUUAAGACAAUAUGCAUUGUGCUACGCGACGAUAUUCAAACAGCUAGUUUAUACUCGACACGGCACUACGGACGUAUAUUACCAGGUAUACAGAGAAAGCUAGAUAAGUAGAUAGAUGGAUUUAUUAUAAUACAUUAAUGCCUGCUCGUGACGAAAAUGUAUUGCCGAAGACUCGGGACAGUCUCGAACCGAUGAUAAUGUUGAUUUUGUUUUCGUAGUCCAAGACAACAGUAAAUCGUAAUACAUAUUUCGGUCUUGUGCGCCGUAUCAAUAAGGUGUGCACGUGUUUUAACGAUUUCUCCCUAUUGCCCAGAAGCCAAAUAAACGUUGUUAAAUACACGGAUUACCAUAAUAACCCAUCCCUAUAAAAAAAAAACUUCUCCGAUUACAAAAAAAAACUAAAACGAUACGCGCAAGUCACAACUACCUAUGCGCCUUUUAUAUGGCUGUUACAAAAACUCGACAAUUUCAAAUUCCUACGGAGAAUUACGAGAUUUUUACAAUGUUUAGAAGGAGAAAAUACAAGUAUUAUGCGAAAUUUUUAAAUCUUUACGAUUUUUUAAACGGAAUUUGAUACGCCUAAAAAUCGGAGCAAGAUUUCUGGUAGAAGAGUCGAACAGAUAAAUACGUUUUCUCGACUUGUUCUUACUAAAAAAUCGUAACAAUGAUAAUAUUAUAAGCAGGGAUACAUAUUAUGAUGCUACUGGUUAUACUGGCCCGAGCUCCUACUGAUCGAAAGCCCAGUGGGUGAUUCCAGUAGACUGGGUAUUGGUUUUUUUUUAGCGCGGAGGAAGAAAUUCACUUUGUAGUUACAAUACUAUUCUCCCUGUGGGAGAUUAAAGUACUCCCACGGUGCCUCUACCUAUUGUAAGAUGAGACGAAUGUGGUUGCGGCAAGUCGACAACCGGUGUAAAAUGCCGUCAAACAGCGUGAGGAGUUCUAAACUAGACUUUGACGUAUUUUAAACGUAUUAUUGUACGGAUUAUACAGGUUUUCUUAUCAAAGGAGGCAACGAUCUUUGAAAUCAAACCUUACACAAAAAUCAAAAGCACAAAUAGUCAAAAUAUAUUUAAAGGGGGGCUCAUAUCCCUAUUAUAUUGAUAAUUACUAUAUAUUAAAAUAAAAAUCAAUAUAUACUUGAUGAGCAUUUUAUUUUAGGGAGCUUGAUUGAGUUUUCGGGAAACGGAGGAAGGUCGAAAUCCUCCACAGGUCCUUCCUCUUUGUUACGACAAUGCAUAAAAAAAGGUUUAAUU